This 603-nucleotide ribosomal RNA is filed under the name uncultured bacterium. RNAcentral describes it as "bacterial SSU rRNA". It matches the Rfam family "Bacterial small subunit ribosomal RNA", at positions 185 to 804 of the family's 1533-position model. The record is from RNAcentral.
AUCACAUGGUUCAAAAGGGAAAGGAGCAAUCCGCUGAUAGAUGGGCUUGCGUCUGAUUAGCUAGUUGGUGGGGUAACGGCCUACCAAGGCGACGAUCAGUAGCCGAGCUGGGAGGUUGAACGGCCACAUUGGGACUGAGAUACGGCCCAGACUCCUACGGGAGGCAGCAGUCGGGAAUAUUGCGCAAUGGAGGAAACUCUGACGCAGCGACGCCGCGUGCAGGAAGAAGGUUUUCGGAUUGUAAACUGCUUUAGACAGGGAAGAACAAAGACAGUACCUGUAGAAUAAGCUCCGGCUAACUACGUGCCAGCAGCCGCGGUAAUACGUAGGGAGCGAGCGUUAUCCGGAUUUAUUGGGUGUAAAGGGUGCGUAGACGGGAAGUCAAGUUAGUUGUGAAAUCCCUCGGCUUAACUGAGGAACUGCAACUAAAACUGAUUUUCUUGAGUACUGGAGAGGAAAGUGGAAUUCCUAGUGUAGCGGUGAAAUGCGUAGAUAUUAGGAGGAACACCGGUGGCGAAGGCGACUUUCUGGACAGAAACUGACGUUGAGGCACGAAAGUGUGGGGAGCAAACAAGAUUAGAUACCCUGGUAGUCCACACCGUA